RNAcentral lists this long non-coding RNA (543 nucleotides) under Citrus x clementina. RNAcentral's name for it is "Citrus clementina (C. clementina) long non-coding RNA (CCLE_LNC004600)". Lineage: Eukaryota; Viridiplantae; Streptophyta; Magnoliopsida; Sapindales; Rutaceae. The record is from RNAcentral.
CACUACAAAUAAAUAGACAAUAAAAUUUAAAGAGACUUUUAAUAAUACUCUGUACAUAAAUAUUAUCGCAAUUAAAUAUAUAUAAAAUGAACAAGCAUAAGCAUAACAUUACUGAAUAUUUAGAAAGAAAAGAAAAACUUUUAAGCUGCGGGAAUCUUUUUCAUGAAGUUAACAAAUUCUAAAAUGUUAUUACACUUCUCGAGAUUAGAACCGCACUCUCUCCAUCAUGUGCAUCCUCGUAUAUCAUGUUGAUCUUCUUACUUUCCGCUUUCCCUUUCUAGUAGUACACCCACCGCCUUUUACGAGCGUCCGUCACACGCUCUACUGUCAGUGGGCUGCGUCCCGUACACGGUCCUGUAUAGGAAGUAAGAUUCAUUCAGUUUCUAUGUCGAACUCGAGCCGCAGAUGUUGAUUCAACGGCUCGGAUCUAAGGAGGAAAUGUGGUCGUAGUAACCACACGAAUCACGAGACACGUUGAAUUUGUAAAAGUCAAAAUCACUUUCUCGUAAAUGGAAGUUAUUACCGAUAUAUAUUUAUUUAAUA